AGACUUGGUGGCUAUGAAGUGGUAUGCUUAUUUUGCUUUUGAACUUAUGGCUAUUUUUAUUGCUCUGUUCUGCAUAUCUGUUAACAUUAUCACUUUCAUCUACCAGUUUCUAUUAGUUAAUUUUGGCAUUGCUUGCUAGAGGCCUGUACUUGAAUGGACUAUUGCUUUGUUAUAUCACAAAUAUCCUGAUAUCCGGAAAUGAUUGAGUCAUGAGGAUGAAAAUCUGUUGAGGUCACGAAUGUCUAUUGCUACAUAAGUCUUAAUUGUGGUUUAUUUUAUUUUAUUUUAUU
Molecule: unclassified non-coding RNA, 290 nt
Filed under: Hevea brasiliensis (rubber tree)
Lineage: Eukaryota; Viridiplantae; Streptophyta; Magnoliopsida; Malpighiales; Euphorbiaceae
Source: RNAcentral